Molecule: long non-coding RNA, 218 nt
Filed under: Elaeis guineensis (African oil palm)
Lineage: Eukaryota; Viridiplantae; Streptophyta; Magnoliopsida; Arecales; Arecaceae
Description: long non-coding RNA (EGUI_LNC023826)
Source: RNAcentral
GCAUCGGUGGUCGGAAAGAGAGGAAGAUGGCCCGAUCGAUCAGAGCAAAAUAGGAGUUCUUACUUUUGCGGAUUUUUUGGCAAAUCCGAUGGCUGACGACGGCAUCCAAGGCCACGAGAAGAUGAGAAAGAAGGAGAGAAAGAAGGGUUGGUGUUUACCUUGGGCUUCAGCAGCAGUGUUGUCGGUUCUAAUUUUCGACGAGCACGAUUACGGGAGGC